This 301-nucleotide ribosomal RNA is filed under the name uncultured bacterium. Its description in RNAcentral is "partial 16S ribosomal RNA". It matches the Rfam family "Bacterial small subunit ribosomal RNA", at positions 509 to 807 of the family's 1533-position model. The record is from RNAcentral.
CAGUCGCCGCGGUAAUACGUAGGGUGCAAGCGUUAUCCGGAAUUAUUGGGCGUAAAGAGCUCGUAGGCGGUUUGUCGCGUCUGCUGUGAAAACUGGAGGCUCAACCUCCAGCCUGCAGUGGGUACGGGCAAACUAGAGUGCGGUAGGGGAGAUUGGAAUUCCUGGUGUAGCGGUGGAAUGCGCAGAUAUCAGGAGGAACACCGAUGGCGAAGGCAGAUCUCUGGGCCGUAACUGACGCUGAGGAGCGAAAGCAUGGGGAGCGAACAGGAUUAGAUACCCCUGUAGUCCCUGUCUCUUAUAC